GGCUCCCACCUGCUUUCUUCUGCUUUCUUCCUCUAAUAAACCUUAAAUUCUCUAUUUAAACCAUGACUCGCUGCGUUUGUGUGGAUUCUUGAAUGGCUCUGAACCUAACAUUUGGUGCCAAAGACCCAGGAUGGAGGUUUGACUGAGGUUUAAGUUUCCUGGCCCCUCAGGGCAAUGGGGCAGCCUCCCAGUCAACUCCGUUCCCCGAACUACACAGCCGUUCAGGUUUCCAUGCAUUCAGCAGCUUGAGUCCAUCAACUCAGAUCACCUUGAUGCAAUGCCGGCUCACCCUCACGGCUCUCAAAUCUCUACAACUAAUUCAGCCCUAGCUACCCAGAAAUCUUCCUAGAGUACCAGGACUCGGAAGUCCAGGUGAAAGUUGACUGCUGCAGGCAGGCGCCGAAUGCAUCUGAGUUGAGGUAGCUUUACAGUUGGGACUUUUUCCCUGUGCUUGUACUGCAACAUCAGUAUCCUACAACUAGCUUGAAAUAUCGGAAGAAAUGUAAAAUCUUAUUAAUCCUGUAUUCCUCUUUUAUUCUCACACAAAAACUUUACAUGGGUUAAAAGCUAAGAAAAUAGAGCAGAAGGAGACACAUUGCAAGUCACUUUCUAACUGAAACGUGACUUGUCAGAUGUCACUUUUGCUACUUGAUGAAAGAUGCACAUUUUUCUUUUCCUCUCCAGUAAGAAUUAUUUUUUUUUCUUCCAAUAAAUUUCCUACUGUGAGAGUAUUAGGGCUGAUCUACAGGAGCAGAACAAACCCAUUUAGGCCAUUUAGACAAUGCAAUAUGCUUGUCACAGCUAAAGUCUGUGAACCAGCUAAUGAUUUGCAAUUUAGCAAGAUAUGCCUAUUUGGACACCCAAGUUCUCAACUUAAUAGUUUAUUUAUUUCAGCUAAGGUUGCUGUUCUCAUUAGGAGCGCUCAGCCCAUCAAAUGGGUGUUAAAAACACAAAACAAAACACAAAUGAGCUUUGGGAACCAAAGAAUCAACACAAGCCUGGACUAUCACUCUGUCGACCUCAGGGUUGUAAUGUUUAUGUGUUUUCAAUACACAAAGAGCUCUCGUGAGGCCCUGACCAUCAAUCAUCUUCAGCAUUGACACAAAGACCUGAGUUCUUUAACAAAGGUUGUAGCUGUUUAAUGUUGGUGCACAUUAGUAGGUUCACAGUGGAGGGUCUGAAGAAGCCCACAAGGUAGAUGCCCUGUUUCUGUGAACAUCGCCAAGUCAGGUGAUAAUAUCUAGCUGGGCGGGGAUUGAGAGACUUGGAUGACUGCAGGUAACCUUUAAGGGAGAGUUGUGCAAUUAAGAAGAGCUCAUAACAGAUGAGUAGGUCUCAGGAAUCUUGCCUGCUUUGUGCAGCAAAAAGAAUAUUUCCUACCUUCUGGAGAGGAGACGCUGACAUCUUACACAAAAAGAGAAGCUGUGAUCACUUCAGAAGUCUUCAUUUCAGGGAUUAGAAGAUUGUAUGCUCUUUUGAGUCCAAGUACGGGUUGAUUCAGGGAUUCCAGCUUCCUUGCAAACAAGAAAGUAAGCUGUGAUCAUACAAGCCCAGAGAAAAAAUGAGGAGGCGAAGAGAAGAAAGAAAAAACCCAGUGAGCUGGAAGGUUCCCAAGGAGAGGGACUGCCCAAGGACUGACUGGAAAACGCUUGUUCAAGUGCCCUUGCUCCCUGGCCAGUGCUGCUUCUCUAGGCUCAUGUGGUGCAUGUAAUGAGCCUUUUCUUUCUGCAGUGAAAUCAAACAUGCCCAAGGCUCGAGUCUGGACUGGGAUAUAACUCCUAAAACAUGAAAAUCCUUUCUUCACAUGAGCAAGAUCUUCCCAGGCCACCUGUGUUGGCUGGGUGAAACUCCAAAGCAUUCCUGAUUUAAAGAGUCAAAAGGUCUCUCCCCUCAAGGAUAGUUGAUAAAACUGAACAAAUAGAGAAAGAAAGAAGAAAUCUAUUAGACACAUAAAGCAAGUAAAAUAUAUUAGACUCUCCUCUGGAAGAAGAGUACCCCAAGUAUGAAUGAUGAUUUUUUUUCCUUAAGCCCCAUUCAUCAGUUACUCAAAAUUAUGCCACAUUAUAGUUUGCUUUAUAUUUAGAUUACUUUCAUGCACAACUAUUUGUUUUCCCCAGAGUUGGAAAAUACCUUUUAAUUUUAUAUAUUUAUUUGUAAAUAGAAAAUAUAUUCACAAAAGGCACAAAAAGGUUACAGCCAAAGGUUUUCUCUCCCCCCCAUCUUUUUCUACCCAGAGGAGACUAAUAUGAUUAUCUGGAAUCCUUACAGAUAUAACCGAUUUAUUUUACAUGACGGGUAGCAUUACUAGAUUAUACAAAGUUCUGGGACCUUUUUUUUUUUUUUAACUUAGAAAAAUGUUUUGGAGAUUAUCCCAUAGCAGAUAAUAAAGAGAUUUUCCUCUCUUUUUUCAUGACACAGUCCAUUGCACCAUACUUGAGCCCGUUUCCCCUUGCUGGGUAGAUUGCUUCCAAUCUUCAGCUGUUACAAACAGUGGUGCAGUGAACAAAUGUAUACAGGAAAUUUGUAUAAACUUGUGUGAGAAUAGAAGUGGAAUCAUUGGGUCAAACAACAUGUGUCUUUGCAAUUUUAAUGAUUAUUUGGAUUUUCUCAGAUCUCCCUCCAUAGAAGUGGUAUGAACUUACACUCCCACCAGUGAUGUAUGAGAGUGAUUGUCUCAUCAGACUGUCACCCACUCACUGUAUUAUCAAUUGUUUAUCUUGCUAGCCUUUUUGUUCCAAGCCUUUACUCAGUCUUCAAUUAGGUUGUCAGAUUUUUUUUUUUUUUUUUUUAAAUGAUGACAUGAGUGCUCUCUCUGUUUUAUGGAUGUUUUGGGGGGUAAUACUUUAGAAAGGCCUGCCCCAUUCUGCAAUUAUAUAAAAAAUGUUCUCCAAGAGCUUAUUCUAAUAUUUUUAUAGUUUUGUUUCUUACUCCAUCUAGAAUUUAUCCUGAUUUAAGAAUGUCCCAACAGCAUUUACUGAAUUGUCUCUUUCCCCCUGUGCUGGUUUGGAUGUAUUAUGUCCCCCCCAAACGCCAUGUUCUUUGAUGUAGUCUUGUGGGGGCAGACAUAUUUAGUCUUGAUUAGGUUGGAACCUUUGGAUAAUUCUGAUUG
This is a long non-coding RNA of Choloepus didactylus (southern two-toed sloth), 3109 nucleotides long. RefSeq lists it as uncharacterized. NCBI's taxonomy places the organism in Eukaryota, Metazoa, Chordata, Mammalia, Pilosa, Megalonychidae. The record is from RefSeq and is a predicted model, not a curated record. The transcript is spliced from 5 exons.